Molecule: non-coding RNA, 21 nt
Filed under: Caenorhabditis elegans
Lineage: Eukaryota; Metazoa; Nematoda; Chromadorea; Rhabditida; Rhabditidae
Source: RNAcentral
UGCUUUCUGUCCCUUUAUAUC